GUUUUUAUUUUGUGCUCUUUGAUAAGGGCGCAUAACAAAAUGCAAUAAAUGCUUGGAAAAUGCAAAUGACGACACAACGAAAGCUGACUGGCAUACAAAAUUUUGGCAGAUGAAUCAGAAUGCGUAGCAACGCAGAGAACUAGGGAAACAACAAUAUAAGAGUGGUUUUGGCCACAAACUGUGCAAUCAGCUUUCAAGUCGCAAAUUAUGAAUUGCAUUUAAGAGCAAGCAAAUAAACAACUUUAAGAAGACCAACUUAAACACCAGCAUAAAAUAAGUGAUAAAAACGCUGUUAAUUUUAAACUUUCAAAAAUUCAGUUUAAUUUCAAAAUAUUUGCGAUUGUUUCCAAAUUGAAUAGCAAUAUUAAGCAGUUGCGUGAAUAGAACUGGCAAUUUUUCAUCCUCAGUGACUUGACAGACUCGUGGCGGCAAGCAAAUAUAUUUUCCAGUUAAAAAGUUGUCAACAGAUUUUAAUACAAUGACAACACAGCAAACAUUUUGAAAAAAUGUGUAUAUAUAUUUUAUUCAUUAUUUAUUUACAAAUAUGUAAUUCAGUUAAACGCUAAACGCUCCAUGGGGGAGAAGACAUAAACAAAUCCAAUGACUUGUUGGUCAUGCAACAGCCCAGUGACUUAGAGAUAUAAUUUUUAUAAGCAAGUGCAGGAGAGACAAUUCAACAUGAACCGUUGAUAGCCCAAAUGCACUAAAACAGGUACAAACUACAUAAACCAAAUCAAAUUGGCAAUAAUAAAUUUUUUUCCACGUGAAUCUAUUGCUGUCCUUACGAACUGCCCAGUUUAAUGACCAACAGGUAUGGAAGUCAACAUUUCACACUUCACACUCCAUGGAAUGCGCACAAAAGCAUGCAACAAAACUUUGGCAAAAAACGCAGCCAAAAAAAAAAAAUUACCGCAAUAGUACAAUCAUAAUGUAUUUAUAUAAACAUAACAAAUAAGAGAAAUAUAAAAUAACAAGCAAUAGCCCAGUGAAGUUUUCAACACAGAACAUUUAUUUAGUUUAAUUGCUGUCACACUUGUCAUAUCCACUAGCUUUGGGGAAAAUUGUCAGAACGAUAGUGAAAUUGGAAUAUUCAAGAGUUCAGAAUUGCCAAAGACAAUUGGUUAUAGUAUAGAAGCAAACGAAAAACGCAAUAACGCAGUAUACUGCAAUAUACUGCAAUAUACUGCAAUAAGUAAAUCAAAGUAUACGCUUACCGCGUAUGAACGCCAAAGGAUACAAUUGGAUAUUGAAGAAAUUCGAUAGAUUUUUUGUUUAAUUAAAAAGGAAAUUUUUUGAUUUAUACUUAAAUAAAAGUAAACUUGCUAAUGCAUUUCAACAAUUUGUCAGAUGAAACUUAACAAAUUGUGAAAAUAAUAUUGUAAUAAGUAGUAAAACGAAUGAAAAUAUAAUGAACAUUAUCCACAUACAUAUGUAUGUAUGUACAUAUAUAUUACAUAUAUGUAUACAGAGACUGCAAACAAAUGUGAUCAGAUAUUUUAAUAGUUUAUAUGUAAAUAAAAAUUAACAGAGAUAAUAAUGAAACAUAAUACAAAUAAGACCAAAAGAGAAAACUCAUCAUCAAAUUGGUAAACCUAACACACAACGUGCAUUUAAUUGUACGAACAAAUAUUUAUUGAAAUAGUAAAACGAAUGGAGAUGUUGAUUCUAACAAAACAACCAAAUCAAAAAAAAAACAAAAACAAAAACAUACGAGUACAUGUAAACUAAGUCAAUAUUAACAUAUAAGCAAACCGAUUAAAAGCGUUGAUUUUUUUUAUAUUUUACAAUAGCAUAUCACAGGAAUGGCGCUCAUUCAAACAGAUAAAUUGAGCACCAAAUUUACCAACUCAUUUUACAAUAGCUAAUGGCGUAUCGCAUGCCUCCGAGUCCCGUAGCGAACACUGCAGUCAGUGAUCGUUUCGAGACUCUGCCGUAUGCAUCGUCCAAUGAAACCAAAGUGAUUGAAGCUGGCUGCAGACCCCCUGUUAGAUAUUUUAGUGUGUUACAUAGGUGUGGUACUUGCCAGCUAACAAAUCAAUUAUUACAACCGUCAUAUUAUUUUUACAUGAAUUUAAGUUCAAUUAAUACAACAACAAGCGAUUAUGUUAAAAAUGUUAAUGCAAUCGUUACCUUAAGUUAAAAAAAAAGAAGAAAUUAUGUUAAUAUUGAAAUAAGUUUCGGAACAGAUAGAGAGAUAAAUAAAUGCUGUUUGAGAUUCGUUGAGAUUUAUCACGAGAAAUUUCCCUUCUUCCUUCGUAUAUAUGUAUAAUAUGUACAUUUAACUGAUUCAAAACACAUUUACCUACAUUUCGUAGUAGUUAAACUCCAAUUAACUACAUAUACAUACGUAUACAUGGAUGUACAAACUUCCGGUGAUUUCAAAUAGUAACUCUAUGUGAAACCACCAAAUUCUUUGCAUUUCCAUUGCUAAGGACAUUUAUCUACAUAACUAAAAAAAUUGCCAGAAUACCAUCAAUUUUUGAAAAUAAAAUAACCAACAGCAUUUGAUCGCAAAUCAAAUAUAACGAGUCAAAUAAUUGCAUAUGAUUAUUAUUUGCAUAUAAUAUUAUAAUAUAAUUUCAAGUUUAUAUUAGUUCGAACAACAAAACUAUUGGCCCUUAAUGGUUUUUCAUUUCCAAUAUUGAAUGUUUUAAACACAAAUCAAUUAAUUAUUUCCAACAAUAGUGCCAAAAUAUUUCUAACAAGAAAAUUAUUAUAAAAUAAGCAUUUUUAUAAGGUUAAUGUGUAGUUAAAGAAAUUACAAAAACAAAUCAAAGGCAACGCAUUAAAACGAGCUAAUGAAAGAGAAAUUAAUAUAAAAAAAGC
Long non-coding RNA from Ceratitis capitata (Mediterranean fruit fly), 2826 nucleotides. RefSeq lists it as uncharacterized. The record is from RefSeq and is a predicted model, not a curated record. NCBI's taxonomy places the organism in Eukaryota, Metazoa, Arthropoda, Insecta, Diptera, Tephritidae. The transcript is spliced from 2 exons.